GCGCGCUUCCUCCUUCUGCUGCUUCCGUGUCGCCGCCGCCGCCGCCACCCGCGCCCCCGCUCCGGUCUGUGGUGCAGCCGGGACCCAGAAUCAUGUCGCUGUCACGCUCGGAGGAAAUGCACCGGCUCACGGAAAAUGUCUACAAGACCAUCAUGGAGCAGUUUAACCCCAGCCUGCGCAACUUCAUCGCCAUGGGGAAGAACUACGAGAAAGCUCUGGCAGGUGUGACCUUCGCCGCCAAAGGCUAUUUCGAUGCCCUGGUGAAGAUGGGGGAGCUGGCCAGCGAGAGUCAGGGCUCCAAGGAACUCGGGGAUGUCCUCUUCCAGAUGGCUGAAGUCCACAGGCAGAUCCAGAAUCAGCUGGAAGAGAUGCUGAAGUCUUUUCACAACGAGCUGCUCACACAGCUGGAGCAGAAGGUGGAGCUGGACUCCAGGUACCUAAGCGCUGCACUGAAGAAAUACCAGACAGAGCAGAGGAGCAAAGGAGACGCCCUGGACAAGUGCCAGGCUGAGUUGAAGAAGCUCCGCAAGAAGAGCCAGGGCAGCAAGAACCCACAGAAGUACUCAGACAAGGAGCUGCAGUACAUCGAUGCCAUCAGCAGCAAGCAGGGCGAGCUGGAGAACUACGUGUCGGAUGGCUACAAGACGGCGCUCACGGAGGAGCGGAGGAGGUUCUGCUUCCUGGUGGAGAAGCAGUGUGCCGUGGCCAAGAACUCUGCCGCCUACCACUCCAAGGGCAAGGAGCUGUUGGCCCAGAAACUGCCACUGUGGCAGCAGGCCUGUGCUGACCCCAACAAGAUCCCGGAUCGUGCCGUCCAGCUGAUGCAGCAAAUGGCCAGCAGCAACGGUUCCAUCCUCCCCAGCGCCCUGUCAGCCUCCAAGUCCAACCUGGUCAUCUCAGACCCAAUUCCUGGGGCCAAGCCCCUGCCAGUGCCCCCUGAACUGGCCCCGUUUGUGGGGCGGAUGUCUGCCCAGGAGAACGCGCCCAUCGUGAAUGGUGUCGCAGGCCCAGACAGUGAGGACUACAGCCCUUGGGCUGACCGCAAGGCUGCUCAGGCCAAGCCCCUGUCUCCCCCACAGUCGCAGAGCAAGCUCAGCGACUCCUACUCCAACACGCUCCCUGUGCGCAAGAGCGUGGCCCCGAAGAACAGCUACGCCACCACUGAGAACAAGACUCUCCCUCGCUCCAGCUCCAUGGCAGCCGGCCUGGAGCGCAACGGCCGCAUGCGGGUUAAAGCCAUCUUCUCCCACGCGGCCGGCGACAAUAGCACCCUGCUGAGCUUCAAGGAGGGCGAUCUCAUCACCCUGCUGGUGCCCGAGGCCCGUGAUGGCUGGCACUAUGGCGAGAGCGAAAAGACCAAGAUGCGGGGCUGGUUCCCCUUCUCUUACACCCGGGUCUUGGACAGUGACGGCAGUGACAGGUUGCACAUGAGCCUACAGCAGGGCAAGAGCAGCAGCACCGGCAACCUCCUGGACAAGGAUGACCUGGCCAUCCCGCCCCCUGACUACGGCACGUCCUCCCGGGCCUUCCCUACCCAGACAGCUGGUACCUUCAAGCAGAGACCCUACAGUGUGGCCGUGCCUGCCUUCUCCCAGGGCCUGGAGGACUACGGGGCACGGUCCGUGAGCAGUGGCAGUGGCACGCUGGUGUCCACAGUGUGAGGACGCUGACCACGGGCAGCUGCUCUGAAGAGCCCCCGCCUCCACCGUCCCCUCCUCCGCUCUCGUCGGAAUCCCUUUGCCAACGUCCAGCUGAAGCCGACGGUGACCAAUGAUCGGUCUGCUCCCCUCCUCAGCUGACAGCCACCUACAUCGCCACCCUCUGCCCCCACCCACAUAACUAUCUGUCACCACUUGUGAGUUCCUGUUGGGAGGACCAACGCCCAAGCCCCCUUCAGCCUCUGAAUCUUGGCUGCUCCUGGGGUUGGUGGCCCCUGGACAAGGCUGACCAGGAAGCGACCUUGAGAACCCUAGGCCUGCUGAUCCUGCCAUGGCUUUGGCAGAGGCUGGUCCUCUGAGGGCAGACACCUCUGGCCCCCGGCGGUGAGCCCUGGUGCCCCUGGUCGCAGGAGGAGCAUCAGCUGUGGACAGAAGGGCGCUGCUCCUGCUGCCCGCACCCAAGCUGGUCAAUAAGUGAGCCGCCCCACCUGUGCCAGGCCUGACUGGGCCUGUGGGGUGGGCCCUGUUCUCCAGAGCCAUCCAUCUCAGCACAUAGCUUCCCCGGGGCUCUGCCCUGCUUCCGCCCUGCCCGAGCCCCACUUCCCAUCCAGAACUGCUCCUGGCAGUGUGCCUGCUGGCUGGUAGGGUCCCGAACUCUACCUGGGACUCCUGGGUGGGACUCCCCCAGCUGUUUCCUAUAGGGGCUGGGCCGGACACAGGGCUUCAAAACUCCUGAGCAGAGCUCGUUCCCCACAGCUCUCCAGGGAGGCUCUGCAGCUCCUGGCUCGCUGCACUGCCUCCAUGCUGCGCAGGAGGCUGGCACCCGUGCUCAGGGGGCACGUGUGGACUGAGAGAACCAUAGCCUCGCUGCUCCAAAGUCUGCCUGCCUCUUCCACCCACUGCUGGGCCCGGGGACCGCCCUAGGGAGGUCUGGGAUCCACCCUCCUCACCCAGGAAGAGUGGGCUGCAGGGGUCUCCCUGCCCUGGCAGUGCAGCAGGUCGCCUGGGUGUGCCUCCUAGCCCCCAGCCAGCUGGCAGCGGGUCCCCUCAGGCAUGCCCAGGGCUUUGUCUGCAGACACCACAGAAGACACUGAGCACAAGAUUGUUUUUUUUCUUAGCAUGGUUUCUCUUAAAAAAACAAAAAAGAACAAGAAAAUCAUUGCACCAGCUUCCAAAGCCUCAAACUAAUUAAAAAAAAAAAAAAAAUCACACACACAAACUCAACAUCCC
Molecule: RNA transcript, 2888 nt
Organism: Sciurus carolinensis (gray squirrel)
Lineage: Eukaryota; Metazoa; Chordata; Mammalia; Rodentia; Sciuridae
Gene: Baiap2
Gene name: BAR/IMD domain containing adaptor protein 2
Exons: 15
Source: RefSeq, a predicted model, not a curated record